This 703-nucleotide ribosomal RNA is filed under the name Helictonema velutinum. Its description in RNAcentral is "eukaryotic LSU rRNA". The stretch from base 276 to 431 matches the Rfam family "5.8S ribosomal RNA". The record is from RNAcentral. Lineage: Eukaryota; Viridiplantae; Streptophyta; Magnoliopsida; Celastrales; Celastraceae.
UUUCCGUAGGUGAACCUGCGGAAGGAUCAUUGUCGAAACCUACAAGACGGAACGACCCGUGAAUCGGUGAGAAAUCACUCGGGAGACGGGCCCACCGGCCUUUCUCCCGCGGCCCCGAGCCAAGGUUGUGGUUCAGAUCCACGUCCUUCGCGAAGGGCAAAACCAACAAACCCCGGCGCAAAACGCGCCAAGGAAAACAAAGGAAAGAUGCGUGCUCCCUCCGUCCCGGGAACGGUGCGUUGGGAGUCGCGUCGUCGUGUUAUCGUAUUCUAAACGACUCUCGGCAACGGAUAUCUCGGCUCUCGCAUCGAUGAAGAACGUAGCGAAAUGCGAUACUUGGUGUGAAUUGCAGAAUCCCGUGAACCAUCGAGUUUUUGAACGCAAGUUGCGCCCAAAGCCGUCAGGCCGAGGGCACGCCUGCCUGGGUGUCACGAAAAGUCACCGAACAUCCCUCCCCCACCGCCGACGAGCGGGGGGCGGCGAAGGACGGCGGACGUUGGCCUCCCGUGCGCUCGCGCGCGCGGUUGGCCCAAAAGUCAGGCCCCGCCCGCGAGGCAGCCACGGCACGCGGUGGUAGAAAGCGCACGCUCUCCUCGGACACCGUCGUGGGCUAGCCCGGUCUACGGGGGGCCAAAGACCCUGACGCGGAGCGUCGUAUCGCGAGGCGACCCCAGGUCAGGCGGGAACACCCGCCGAGUUUAAG